Molecule: transfer RNA, 72 nt
Filed under: Mus musculus (house mouse)
Lineage: Eukaryota; Metazoa; Chordata; Mammalia; Rodentia; Muridae
Description: tRNA-Phe
Source: RNAcentral
GGAGAUGUAGCUCAGUGGUAGAGUACUUGCCCAAAAUGCAUGAAGUGCUAGGCUCAAUCCCAAGGACCACCC